GACGAACGCUGGCGGCGUGCCUAAUACAUGCAAGUAGAACGCCCAGUUUAUACCGUCGCUUGCUACACCAUAGCCUGUGAGUUGCGAACGGGUGAGUAACGCGUAGCUAACCUGCCUGGUAGCGGGGGAUAACUAUUCGUACCGUUAGCUAAUACCGCAUAAUAUUAAUUAUUGCAUGGUAAUUAAUUGCAUGGUGCAAUUGCACCACUACUAGCUGGACCUGCGGUGUAUUAGCUAGUAGGUGAGGUAACGGCCCAACUAGGCGGCGAUUCAUAGCCGACCUGGGGAGGAUGACGGCCACACUGGGACUGGGAAACGGCCCAAGCCCCCACGGGGAGGCGCAGGAGGGAAAUAUCGGAAAUGGAGGGAAGUCUGACUGAACAACGCCGCGGGAGGGAAGGAGGUCCUCGGGUUGUAAAGGUCCGUUUUAAGAGAAGAACGGGUGUGAGAGUGGAAAGUUCACGCUGUGACGGUAUCUUACGAGAAAGCGACGGCUAACUACGUG
RNAcentral lists this ribosomal RNA (505 nucleotides) under uncultured bacterium. RNAcentral describes it as "partial 16S ribosomal RNA". It matches the Rfam family "Bacterial small subunit ribosomal RNA", at positions 28 to 507 of the family's 1533-position model. The record is from RNAcentral.